AGCGAACGCUGGCGGCAGGCCUAACACAUGCAAGUCGAACGAACCUUUCGGGGUUAGUGGCGGACGGGUGAGUAACACGUGGGAACGUGCCUUUAGGUUCGGAAUAACUCAGGGAAACUUGUGCUAAUACGAAUGUGCCCUUCGGGGGAAAGAUUAAUCGCCUUUAGAGCGGCCCGCGUCUGAUUAGCUAGUUGGUUGAGGUAAUGGCUCACCAAGGCGACGAUCAGUAGCUGGUCUGAGAGGAUGAUCAGCCACAUUGGGACUGAGACACGGCCCAAACUCCUACGGGAGGCAGCAGUGGGGAAUCUUGCGCAAUGGGCGAAAGCCUGACGCAGCCAUGCCGCGUGAAUGAUGAAGGUCUUAGGAUUGUAAAAUUCUUUCACCGGGGACGAUAAUGACGGUACCCGGAGAAGAAGCCCCGGCUAACUUCGUG
This 433-nucleotide ribosomal RNA is filed under the name uncultured bacterium. Its description in RNAcentral is "partial 16S ribosomal RNA". It matches the Rfam family "Bacterial small subunit ribosomal RNA", at positions 29 to 507 of the family's 1533-position model. The record is from RNAcentral.